CCUACGGGAGGCAGCAGUGAGGAAUAUUGGUCAAUGGACGCAAGUCUGAACCAGCCAUGCCGCGUGCAGGAAGACGGCUCUAUGAGUUGUAAACUGCUUUUGUACGAGGGUAAACGCAGAUACGCGUAUCUGUCUGAAAGUAUCGUACGAAUAAGGAUCGGCUAACUCCGUGCCAGCAGCCGCGGUAAUACGGAGGAUUCAAGCGUUAUCCGGAUUUAUUGGGUUUAAAGGGUGCGUAGGCGGUCGGAUAAGUUAGAGGUGAAAUCCCGAGGCUCAACUUCGGAAUUGCCUCUGAUACUGUUCGGCUAGAGAGGAGUUGCGGUAGGCGGAAUGUACGGUGUAGCGGUGAAAUGCUUAGAGAUCAUACAGAACACCGAUUGCGAAGGCAGCUUACCAGGCUACUUCUGACGUUGAGGCACGAAAGCGUGGGGAGCGAACAGGAUUAGAUACCCGGGUAGUC
RNAcentral lists this ribosomal RNA (460 nucleotides) under uncultured bacterium. RNAcentral's name for it is "partial 16S ribosomal RNA". It matches the Rfam family "Bacterial small subunit ribosomal RNA", at positions 338 to 795 of the family's 1533-position model. The record is from RNAcentral.